RNAcentral lists this unclassified non-coding RNA (253 nucleotides) under uncultured Pirellulaceae bacterium. Its description in RNAcentral is "contains 16S-23S intergenic spacer region". It matches the Rfam family "Bacterial small subunit ribosomal RNA", at positions 524 to 776 of the family's 1533-position model. Lineage: Bacteria; Pseudomonadati; Planctomycetota; Planctomycetia; Pirellulales; Pirellulaceae. The record is from RNAcentral.
GACGAACUGCGCAAACGUUAUUCGGAAUCACUGGGCUUAAGGAGUCCGUAGGCGGCCUGGUAGGUGGGGUGUGAAAGCCCUCGGCUCAACCGAGGAAUUGCGCUCCAAACCAUCAGGCUAGAGGGAGAUAGAGGAGAGCGGAACUCACGGUGGAGCGGUGAAAUGCGUUGAUAUCGUGAGGAACACCGGUGGCGUAAGCGGCUCUCUGGGUCUCUUCUGACGCUGAGGGACGAAAGCUAGGGUAGCGAACGGG